UACGAAGGUCCCAAGCGUUAUCCGGAUUUAUUGGGUUUAAAGGGUGCGUAGGCGGGUUAUUAAGUCAGUGGUGAAAGCCCCAAGCUUAACUUGGGAACUGCCAUUGAUACUGAUGGUCUUGAGUACAUUUGAGGUGGGCGGAAUGUGUCAUGUAGCGGUGAAAUGCUUAGAUAUGACACAGAACACCGAUUGCGAAGGCAGCUCACUAAACUGUAACUGACGCUGAGGCACGAAAGCGUGGGGAGCAAACAGG
RNAcentral lists this ribosomal RNA (253 nucleotides) under uncultured bacterium. Its description in RNAcentral is "partial 16S ribosomal RNA". It matches the Rfam family "Bacterial small subunit ribosomal RNA", at positions 524 to 776 of the family's 1533-position model. The record is from RNAcentral.